UGGGGAUGACGUCAAGUCAUCAUGCCCCUUAUGUUCUGGGCUACACACGUGCUACAAUGGCCGGUACAGACGACGCAAAGCCGCGAGGUGGAGCAAAUCCUAAAAAGCCGGUCUCAGUUCGGAUUGCAGGCUGCAAUUCGCCUGCAUGAAGUCGGAAUCGCUAGUAAUCGCAGGUCAGCAUACUGCGGUGAAUACGUUCCCGGGCCUU
Molecule: ribosomal RNA, 208 nt
Filed under: uncultured Bacillus sp.
Lineage: Bacteria; Bacillati; Bacillota; Bacilli; Caryophanales; Bacillaceae
Description: partial 16S ribosomal RNA
Rfam family: Bacterial small subunit ribosomal RNA
Source: RNAcentral